AGUAAAGAAAGGGAUUGUAUAAUGUGGAGUACUUGGUGCUCUCUGCGCUUAGUUGUUUGCUUGCUUGCAGACAUUUCACUGAUGAUGUUCCCUAGUUGGGUAAUGAAACAUCUGCAAGCCAACAACCAAGCACAGAGAGCACCAAGGACUCCACAGUUCAACCCUGAGCGGUGUAUAUUCUAUUCUGUUGGAUUGUAUAACAGUUUCUACCAGGGCAAUCCCAGACACCUCUAUUCAGAAGUAGACUCAUUAAAUUCACUGGUGCUUUCUCCCUGGUAAAAUGGGUAUAGCAACCUUUCCCAGUCAGCACAGAUUUUAGAGUGCAGUCUGUGAUCCAAGGGUUGAACUAGUAGUGACAGGAGCAGAAGAGAAUUAAAAGAAGGUUUAAUUUAGCCAAAGUAUCAGCUGACCCUUCAAGAUAUAAAAUGAGAUCUAAACUCUCUUCCCAAGCCCUGGAAGCAAACACCUGCUCUUUCAUUGUAGGAAUGAGUGAGUAAAGCUGCAAUAGUCAGAGAAAGGUGCUUGGAAAGAAUGAAGGAAUGGACAGACUCUUUCCCGAGGCUUGGUAUGUGGUGCAAACAUGGCCCUGGCUUAGCAUAAUGUUUAGUUCAUAACAGCAUGGGAAGUAAAUGGUGGUUCAGUGCAUUCUGUGAACCCAGUCACAGACCUGCAAACUAUCUAGCCGAAGCUGGGCUAUUUCAAAUAAUUUAUGCAGGACGUUGACGACUCUAAAUCUUUGGUAACCUCAUCAUUUUCCGCACUAUCAUAUUUGGUUAUACUAAUAAUACUCCCAGUAUAAGGUUAACUGAAGAAGUCUCCUGGUUUACUCAAAAGUAAAUCCUAUAUUCAAUAGCACUUCCUCUGCUUUGUAUAAGGGUGUCAUUUAUUUUAUUUAUGGAAAUUCAAGGCUAAGCAUGACUUAAUUUGAGAGGAUUUCAAAGAGAGGAAAACAGCAGCGCUGGCAGAAAUGGGUAGAUGCCACUGGAACAAUCAAUCUUUGGAAAUGAGCCAUGUCUUUAGUGUUCAACCAGUUAAUCAAAUAUCAUGUAUUAUAUGCCCCCUAGAUAUCUGUUAGGUCUCCACUUUUUAAAGUUCCUUUUGUAUUGACUUUCCUCAUGCUUGUUAUUUGUGAAUUAUGAUGUUAUGAAACGGGGAGUCUAUAAAUUUGUGUAAUAAAUAAUACAUAAAUAAACCAGUUGAUUGAUAGGA
Candoia aspera is the source of this 1209-nucleotide long non-coding RNA. RefSeq lists it as uncharacterized. The transcript is spliced from 2 exons. The record is from RefSeq and is a predicted model, not a curated record. NCBI's taxonomy places the organism in Eukaryota, Metazoa, Chordata, Lepidosauria, Squamata, Candoiidae.